Long non-coding RNA from Brassica oleracea var. oleracea, 670 nucleotides. RefSeq lists it as uncharacterized. Lineage: Eukaryota; Viridiplantae; Streptophyta; Magnoliopsida; Brassicales; Brassicaceae. The record is from RefSeq and is a predicted model, not a curated record. The transcript is spliced from 4 exons.
CUUAUAAAUGUAAAGUACAGAACUUUCUCAGCUGUUGUGGGACCCUUAGUCAUCGUUGAAAAAGUGAAGGUUUUUGAAAAAAUUGGCACCGUUCAAUCCACUGGAGAGGCUGCUAUUCGAGAAGCCAUGGAGCAGCCACAAUAACCACCUUUCUGUGCGUAGAUCCGUCUACUCUCCAUGCUCGAGGAAUAUAACUUAUCAGGCAGUCAAGAGAGGAAGAACACCGAGACCUAUGGGUGUGUAGUUAUCUUCAUUCCAUCAGAAAGUUUUGGCCAAUAUAAUAUUUUCAAGCUAUAGGUUUCUGCAUGUUAAAAGAUCUGAUGAAGCUCCAGGAAACAGCUCAUAGCAGAAUGCACCAAUCAAAGACUUUCCUGGAAUGUCAACUGGUGCAGGUGGUGCUGCAACCAACGAAGACUUUCCUUGAGAGCCAGAAUACACCAGAUUCUUAAACCUAACAAGAAAGCCAAUCAGCGCUAGAUAGUGGACCUAUACCAACCGCAUCUCAAUGGAUCCUUCAGCAGAGGACUUGAAAUUGUUGGCGUACAAGUUUAAGAGCAAUCUGUUAAUAAACCAGUAUAAUUUCAGAUUGCUUGGCAUCCAAGUUAAAAAGUUUUGUACUAUAUUUAGCGAACUUACCUUACGAAAAAAAAUUUCAAUCUGCUUCUGGAGA